This 455-nucleotide ribosomal RNA is filed under the name Bacillus alkalogaya. RNAcentral's name for it is "bacterial SSU rRNA". It matches the Rfam family "Bacterial small subunit ribosomal RNA", at positions 762 to 1216 of the family's 1533-position model. Lineage: Bacteria; Bacillati; Bacillota; Bacilli; Caryophanales; Bacillaceae. The record is from RNAcentral.
UGGGGAGCAAACAGGAUUAGAUACCCUGGUAGUCCACGCCGUAAACGAUGAGUGCUAGGUGUUAGGGGUUUCGAUGCCCUUAGUGCCGAAGUUAACACAUUAAGCACUCCGCCUGGGGAGUACGACCGCAAGGUUGAAACUCAAAGGAAUUGACGGGGGCCCGCACAAGCAGUGGAGCAUGUGGUUUAAUUCGAAGCAACGCGAAGAACCUUACCAGGUCUUGACAUCCUUUGACCACCCUAGAGAUAGGGCUUUCCCCUUCGGGGGACAAAGUGACAGGUGGUGCAUGGUUGUCGUCAGCUCGUGUCGUGAGAUGUUGGGUUAAGUCCCGCAACGAGCGCAACCCUUGAUCUUAGUUGCCAGCAUUUAGUUGGGCACUCUAAGGUGACUGCCGGUGACAAACCGGAGGAAGUGGGGACGACGUCAAAUCAUCAUGCCCCUUAUGACCUGGGCUA